UGGAUGAUGUGGAUUAAUUCGAUGCAACGCGAAAACCUUACCAACCCUUGACAUGUCCGGAAUCCGAAGAGAUUUGGGAGUGCUCGCGAGAGAACCCGGAACACAGGUGCUGCAUGGCUGUCGUCAGCUCGUGUCGUGAGAUGUUGGGUUAAGUCCCGCAACGAGCGCAACCCUUGUCUUUAGUUGCCAUCAUUAAGUUGGGCACUCUAAAGAGACUGCCGAUGACAAAUCGGAGGAAGGUGGGGAUGACGUCAAAUCAUCAUGCCCUUUAUGUCCUGGGCUACACACGUGCUACAAUGGUCGGUACAACGAGAAGCAAGUCAGCGAUGGCAAGCAAAUCUCUAAAAGCCGAUCCCAGUUCGGAUUGCAGGCUGCAACUCGCCUGCAUGAAGUCGGAGUUGCUAGUAAUCGCGGAUCAGAAUGCCGCGGUGAAUGCGUUCCCGGGUCUU
Molecule: ribosomal RNA, 449 nt
Filed under: uncultured Eubacteriales bacterium
Lineage: Bacteria; Bacillati; Bacillota; Clostridia; Eubacteriales
Description: bacterial SSU rRNA
Rfam family: Bacterial small subunit ribosomal RNA
Source: RNAcentral